CGUGCCUAAUACAUGCAAGUCGAGCGAAUGACGAGAAGCUUGCUUCUCUGAUUUAGCGGCGGAGGGGUGAGUAACACGUGGGCAACCUGCCCUACCCAUCGGGAUAACUCANGGAAACCUGGGCUAAUACCGGAUAAUCCUUCCAAUCACAUGUUUUGAAGUUGAAAGGCGCUUCGGCGUCACUGUAGGAUGGGCCCGCGGUGCAUUANCUAGUUGGUGGGGUAACGGCCUACCAAGGAAACGAUGCAUAUCCGACCUGAGAGGGUGAUCGGCCACAUUGGGACUGANACACGGCCCACACUCCUACGGGAGGCAGCAGUAGGGAAUCUUCCACAAUGGACGAAAGUCUGAUGGAGCAACGCCGCGUGAGUGAUGAANGUUUUCGGAUCGUAAAACUCUGUUGUAAGGGAAGAACAAGUACGUUAGGAAAUGAACGUACCUUGACGGUACCUUAUUANAAAGCCACGGCUAACUACGUGCCANCA
Molecule: ribosomal RNA, 485 nt
Filed under: uncultured bacterium
Lineage: Bacteria
Description: bacterial SSU rRNA
Rfam family: Bacterial small subunit ribosomal RNA
Source: RNAcentral